CAGAGCAAUCAGAGAAGAGACAGAAAUAAAAGGCAUCCAAACAGGAAGACAGGAAGUCUAACUAAACCUGUGUGAAGAUUACAUGAUUCUGUAUCUUCAAAACCCUAUAGUCUCAGCAGGAAAGCUCUUUAAACUGAUAAACAACUUUAGCAAAGUUUUAGGAUACAAAAUCAACAUAUAAAAAUAAG
Long non-coding RNA from Sapajus apella (tufted capuchin), 188 nucleotides. RefSeq lists it as uncharacterized. Lineage: Eukaryota; Metazoa; Chordata; Mammalia; Primates; Cebidae. The record is from RefSeq and is a predicted model, not a curated record. The transcript has 3 exons.